Molecule: ribosomal RNA, 520 nt
Filed under: uncultured Scutellospora
Lineage: Eukaryota; Fungi; Glomeromycota; Glomeromycetes; Diversisporales; Gigasporaceae
Description: SSU rRNA
Rfam family: Eukaryotic small subunit ribosomal RNA
Source: RNAcentral
CGCAGCCGCGGUAAUUCCAGCUCCAAUAGCGUAUAUUAAAGUUGUUGCAGUUAAAAAGCUCGUAGUUGAAUUUCGGGGUUCUACCGUUGGUCGGGCUAACCAGUCUGUACUAGCGUGUAAAAUUCCUACCUUCUGGAGAACCAUCAUGUUAUUAAUUUAGCGUGGUGGGAAACCAGGACCUUUACCUUGAAAAAAUUAGAGUGUUCAAAGCAGGCUUACGUCUGAAUACAUUAGCAUGGAAUAAUAGAAUAGGACGGUGGUCCUGUUUUGUUGGUUUCUGAAUCACCGUAAUGAUUAAUAGGGAUAGUUGGGGGCAUUAGUAUUCAAUUGUCAGAGGUGAAAUUCUUGGAUUUAUUGAAGACUAACUUCUGCGAAAGCAUUUGCCAAGGAUGUUUUCAUUAAUCAAGAACGAAAGUUAGGGGAUCGAAGACGAUCAGAUACCGUCGUAGUCUUAACCAUAAACUAUGCCGACUAGGGAUCGGACGAUGUUAAAUUUAUUGACUCGUUCGGCGCCUUACGG